ACACUCUUUGACCAUGCAAUUAUAUAUUUAUUAACAACUCGUAGUUGUUGUUAGUUGUAGAAAAAAAGAGGGAGGAGAUGUAAAACUGCAGUGAAAAUAAGGGUGGCCUUGUAGUUUUGUGGGAGGAAAGAUUAGUAACAGCGCCGACAUCAGAGUGCAGAACGUAAUCAGUGACUCAUAAAAUAAGGAGUUUUCUCACCCUCUCAGAAGCAGGCACACAGCACAGGGAAACUGAGUCGUACAGCUCAGAGUCACAGGCGUAGUAUGGGAGUGGCAUCAGGUUCAGUAGAGGAAGCAGGCACACAGCACAGGGAAACUGAGUCGUACAGCUCAGAGGCACAGGCGUAGUAUGGGAGCGGCAUCAGGUUCAGUAGAGGAAGCAGGCACACAUCACAGGGAAACUGAGUCGUACAGCUCAGAGUCACAGGCGUAGUAUGGGAGUGGCAUCAGGUUCAGUAGAGGAAGCAGGCACACAGCACAGGGAAACUGAGUCGUACAGCUCAGAGUCACAGGCGUAGUAUGGGAGCGGCAUCA
RNAcentral lists this long non-coding RNA (534 nucleotides) under Salmo salar (Atlantic salmon). RNAcentral describes it as "lncRNA (ENSSSAG00000100421.1)". The record is from RNAcentral. Lineage: Eukaryota; Metazoa; Chordata; Actinopteri; Salmoniformes; Salmonidae.